RNAcentral lists this ribosomal RNA (660 nucleotides) under Bifidobacterium sp. JCM 7028. RNAcentral describes it as "bacterial SSU rRNA". It matches the Rfam family "Bacterial small subunit ribosomal RNA", at positions 62 to 729 of the family's 1533-position model. The record is from RNAcentral. Lineage: Bacteria; Bacillati; Actinomycetota; Actinomycetes; Bifidobacteriales; Bifidobacteriaceae.
UCGAACGGGAUCCUGCGGGCUUUGCUUGCGGGUGAGAGUGGCGAACGGGUGAGUAAUGCGUGACCAACCUGCCCCAUGCUCCGGAAUAGCUCCUGGAAACGGGUGGUAAUGCCGGAUGCUCCCGCGCCCCGCAUGGGGUGUGGGGAAAGCUUUCGUGGCAUGGGAUGGGGUCGCGUCCUAUCAGCUUGUUGGCGGGGUGAGGGCCCACCAAGGCGUUGACGGGUAGCCGGCCUGAGAGGGCGACCGGCCACAUUGGGACUGAGAUACGGCCCAGACUCCUACGGGAGGCAGCAGUGGGGAAUAUUGCACAAUGGGCGCAAGCCUGAUGCAGCGACGCCGCGUGCGGGAUGGAGGCCUUCGGGUUGUAAACCGCUUUUGUUUGGGAGCAAGCCCUUCGGGGUGAGUGUACCUUUCGAAUAAGCACCGGCUAACUACGUGCCAGCAGCCGCGGUAAUACGUAGGGUGCGAGCGUUAUCCGGAAUUAUUGGGCGUAAAGGGCUCGUAGGCGGUUCGUCGCGUCCGGUGUGAAAGUCCAUCGCUUAACGGUGGAUCCGCGUCGGGUACGGGCGGGCUGGAGUGCGGUAGGGGAGACUGGAAUUCCCGGUGUAACGGUGGAAUGUGUAGAUAUCGGGAAGAACACCAAUGGCGAAGGCAGGUCUC